RNAcentral lists this ribosomal RNA (663 nucleotides) under Salmonella enterica subsp. enterica serovar Pomona. RNAcentral describes it as "partial 23S ribosomal RNA". It matches the Rfam family "Bacterial large subunit ribosomal RNA", at positions 2140 to 2802 of the family's 2925-position model. The record is from RNAcentral. Lineage: Bacteria; Pseudomonadati; Pseudomonadota; Gammaproteobacteria; Enterobacterales; Enterobacteriaceae.
AGGAUAGGUGGGAGGCUUUGAAGUGUGGACGCCAGUCUGCAUGGAGCCGGCCUUGAAAUACCACCCUUUAAUGUUUGAUGUUCUAACGUGGACCCGUGAUCCGGGUUGCGGACAGUGUCUGGUGGGUAGUUUGACUGGGGCGGUCUCCUCCUAAAGAGUAACGGAGGAGCACGAAGGUUGGCUAAUCCUGGUCGGACAUCAGGAGGUUAGUGCAAUGGCAUAAGCCAGCUUGACUGCGAGCGUGACGGCGCGAGCAGGUGCGAAAGCAGGUCAUAGUGAUCCGGUGGUUCUGAAUGGAAGGGCCAUCGCUCAACGGAUAAAAGGUACUCCGGGGAUAACAGGCUGAUACCGCCCAAGAGUUCAUAUCGACGGCGGUGUUUGGCACCUCGAUGUCGGCUCAUCACAUCCUGGGGCUGAAGUAGGUCCCAAGGGUAUGGCUGUUCGCCAUUUAAAGUGGUACGCGAGCUGGGUUUAGAACGUCGUGAGACAGUUCGGUCCCUAUCUGCCGUGGGCGCUGGAGAACUGAGGGGGGCUGCUCCUAGUACGAGAGGACCGGAGUGGACGCAUCACUGGUGUUCGGGUUGUCAUGCCAAUGGCACUGCCCGGUAGCUAAAUGCGGAAGAGAUAAGUGCUGAAAGCAUCUAAGCACGAAACUUGCCCCGA